Molecule: RNA transcript, 3461 nt
Organism: Gadus chalcogrammus (walleye pollock)
Lineage: Eukaryota; Metazoa; Chordata; Actinopteri; Gadiformes; Gadidae
Exons: 6
Source: RefSeq, a predicted model, not a curated record
CAACAAACAUGCAAGGUCAACCUGGAUACUGUGUCUGAUCCGGUGUACAUUAUCAUUACCAGUAGAUAAUGGUACAACAUUGCUUGCCUUGCUAACUAUUUAUCAAGUGAGCUGCUAUGAAGCAAUAGGGUUGUAGGUAAGAGCAAUAUUAAUGGGUAAAUCUUGUUCUCCUUUUAGGUUUUGGCUCAAAAAUACCUUCACCUGCAUUGACCGACUUGAGCGUUCCAGGCUCUGCUCAUCCCAAAGUUGGUGAAAGUAGUCUGGUAGAUGCUUCUAGGAGCACAUCCCAAGAUGACUACAACCUAGAAGUGCCUUUGCCUGGGUCCCGCCAUAGCGGCCACAGAAACACUGAGGCUGGACUCGACAAGCCAACCCCAGAGAGCAGCGAGGCUAGCCACCUGGUGGACUAUGAGGAGCUGGUGUGGAUCCAUGUCCCUGACCUUGAGCCGGGCGACUCCUUCAGCUACCAGCAAGCUGCACAGGUCUCCAUGCAAGCCCCCUAACCUCCCAGAUAGGUCUUGUCCUUGCCCCUCCCCAGACGCUUCUCUCUGCCAGGCCAACAACUAUUUGGGGCAUCUGCAAACUUGCAUUUUUAACUACUAUAACACAUGACUCUUUUGUCAAACUUUUACUAUUUGUAUAAUAAAUCUUCAUCUUUUAUUUGCCUCUGUUGCCUUAUACUGAAUGUCAAGGGACUUUGCCUAGGGCAUUGCACUGCUACUGUUAUAGCUGCUAAACUAUGAGUGUUAUGGAUGUGAGUUCUCCUUGGGUCAUGAUGUCAAUCCGUGCAGUCUGCCAACAUUGGCAUGCUAAUGGAUACUGUACUUUUUUUUUUUUGCGGUUAUUGUGGCUUACCCUAGUUGCAAACAAAGUGUAAAAAUCUUUUUUUGCAGAAAUUGCAUCCAAUGUAGGACAAAAACACUUAAUUGAACCCUGAUUUGCCAAGAACGUGUUUUCCUGAAGGGUCUAAAAUUGACCUUACUGAACUAGUGGUACGGUGCUUCAACAGUCAUGACUUUGAAAUCCUGUUUAUCUGGCCAGUUAUGUUCUACCACAGAAUUCUACAGAGAUACAAAAUGGUGUUGUCUCUAACAAGGGCAUAACCGGACUCUAGAAAUUCUAGGGGUUAUCUCACACAGCUGAAUAUAAAUAAAAGGCCAUCCGAUACAGACGGCAUAACUAAAGUUACCAACGCUAAUGGCCAAUUUACUUGAGGGUUAAACUCAAUCCAAGAACCACAGGUUAUUCCCAGAGGUACUUGUUGGUUUGGACUGGAUAAUCUGUUUGUGGAACAGUUUAAACAAAGCAACAUGGUUGGCUAUUUAAGAUAAGAUGUUGUGUUAACCGUUAAAUGUAAUAACUUGAUACUUUUCUAUCUGCCUUGACGUAGAUCUUCUGCCUGAUUGGAGGAAUGUUUUUAUUACUUAAAGGCAAACCUUUCUGAAUAUCCUAAUUCUUAAAACAUUUUCCAGGUAAAGGGGGAUCAUAUGGAUCAUGAUCACAUGUUCUUCUCCUUGUAGCAUUUGGCUGAAAUAAGGAUGUUUUACUCAGAGCCAGAAGGAUCUCGGUUUAAACCCUUCAUUUAGACUAGGAACACUUUAAGUAAAACCCCUAACCCCUACAUAUAAAAUAACAUAUAUAAACAAAUCUCUCAUUGGUCACCCUAGAUAAAUUCAUAUGCUAAAUUACUCAGUAGGUAUUAUUGUCAGUGUACCUCAGAUUGAGGUCAACAGGUGUGGUUAAUUAGUCAUUAAUUGAACUGGAGGGAACAACCCUUUAAAAGAACCAGAGUUGGUUGCGUUAAACACUCAUUUGUGGAGCAGCACCUUAAACAGAGUAACAUGGCUGGACAUACUGUGAGCUCUUUCGGGUUUUUAUGCAUCUCAUGUCUGAUUGGAGGGGUCAUUUCACUACCACUGAAAGAGUUCGGCUCAAACGAUCCAUUCCCAGCAUGGAGUGACCACAGCAGUCCUGGCUCUGCUUAUCCCAAAGCUGGUGAUGGAGGCAUGGUGUUUCCUUAUGGCAGAGCAAUGCAAGAGUACUACGGACAAGAGCCUUCAGCUUGGUCCAAGCAGAACAGUGACGCUAAGGCUGAUGGAGGGGUCUACUCAAAUGAAGGCUCGGAUAUGGAUGCUGGAGACUCUGUCUGGGCCAAGAACGGCGGUAUGGACUCUGGUAGUGACGGUUACUACCCUGUUCCUGAAGGCUACUCUAAGGAGCUAGUCCCCUCCAUGGAGGAGGAGACCCCAGAGGAGGAGGAGCCCGUGUUGAGCGACGUCUCUGACCUGGAUCCGGUCUACCACUUCAGUUCCAGGUCCCGCUACCAGCAAGGCAGACAGGCCUUCUUCCUAACCAGAUACAACCCCGGAGAGCCUACGGUCGGCUCUGCUGACAUGGCAGACUCCAAAAGUAAUGGAAUGGGAAAUGGUAAAGGAUGGCCAGUUGUUGCACAAGAGCCUGGGAAGGGUGGCUACUGAUCAACUGCAAUGUCUUAAUUUAUAAUGGCUGUAUAUGAAUAAAUGUUUGCCUUUGAAACCUAUUUACUCUGCUUUGAUACAGUGUUUGAAGAUGUCCAUAAAGCACUUUUGUGUCUCAACAAACUGUUAUCCUGGAUCCAUUAAACUUCGCUAUUUCAAGUGUCUCUGACCAAACAUUAGGCCCACGGAGUGCCUUCAAAAAUGGAAGUGAAAUGCAGAGUAGUUGGAAGGCCACCAACAUUACAUGUCAAACAAAUUGCAGAGGACACUACUCUUAAACUAGACUAAUUGGGUGUCGUCAGCGCUCUCACGGACAUACAUUUGCAGUUAAUGCUUGCCAAUACUGCGUUCCGGCUAUGGUAUGAUUCGAAAAUGGCGUUUGGAUUAGGCUUUAGGCACCAUAUUUGACGAUGUCUGACACUACAACCUUUAAGAGACGUCAUUGGCCAGGAUUCUCUGGUAAAAGAUUUUUAUUCUCAAUGAGACUUCUGGUUAAAUUUAACAUGGCUUAAGAUAAAUAACUGGCUGCGUGCUAAAGACAUGGAACAAAUGUUUAAUUGGUAUCAAGCAAAGGACAAAAUGUAUACUUCAAUCCCUGCUGAAAAAGUUCAGGGCUAUGUCCCUCAAUGUUGCCAGUAUACCUGUAGGCAUCCUUGAAUUAUGUACCUUACUCCUGUUCAUAAAUAGCAUGUACCUAAAAAAUGUGUGCGAGUGCUAAAUGUGCUAACAUUGAUUGCUAAUAGUCAAUGUGGCUGCUGAUGAAGGUCAACCGGUGUGGUUAAUCAGUAAACAAUUGAACUGGAGUGAACAAUCCUUUAAAGAAUCACUGUCCUCUCUGAGGGGUAUUAGUUUACAGGUCCUGGAUAUUGGUUUGCAGAGCAAACCCAGCAAAACCUUCCAACAAACAUGCAAGGUCAACCUGGAUACUGUGUCUGAUCCGGUGUACAUUAUCAUUACCAGUAGAUAAUGGUUUCGGCUCAAAAA